UACGUAGGGUGCAAGCGUUGUCCGGAUUUAUUGGGCGUAAAGAGCUCGUAGGCGGUUUGUCGCGUCGACUGUGAAAGCCCGGGGCUCAACUCCGGGUCUGCAGUCGAUACGGGCAGACUAGAGUUCGGUAGGGGAGACUGGAAUUCCUGGUGUAGCGGUGAAAUGCGCAGAUAUCAGGAGGAACACCGGUGGCGAAGGCGGGUCUCUGGGCCGAUACUGACGCUGAGGAGCGAAAGCGUGGGGAGCAAACAGG
Molecule: ribosomal RNA, 253 nt
Filed under: uncultured bacterium
Lineage: Bacteria
Also listed under: 1 other name
Description: partial 16S ribosomal RNA
Rfam family: Bacterial small subunit ribosomal RNA
Source: RNAcentral